Molecule: non-coding RNA, 209 nt
Organism: Pelobates cultripes (western spadefoot toad)
Lineage: Eukaryota; Metazoa; Chordata; Amphibia; Anura; Pelobatidae
Source: the annotation of a GenBank genome assembly
CUUGUUUUGGGUGCCAAAACACCUAAGGCCAACAACACCGACCAUGCUAGAGACCACCAAACUAAUGCUGCAUACAUGGGACACAUACAGAACGCACCUUAGUGGCUCAGGAACCACAUCGCUAGCAUCGACAAUGUAUAGUAUCUACCUGAGGAACAAAACAUUUGACUACCGGACUUGGGCGAAUGCAGGGUGUACACACAUACACG